GGUUAAGCGACUAAGCGUACACGGUGGAUGCCCUGGCAGUCAGAGGCGAUGAAGGGCGUGCUAAUCUGCGAUAAGCGCCGGUAAGGUGAUAUGAACCGUUAUAACCGGCGAUACCCGAAUGGGGAAACCCAGUGUGACUCGUCACACUAUCAUUAACUGAAUCCAUAGGUUAAUGAGGCGAACCGGGGGAACUGAAACAUCUAAGUACCCCGAGGAAAAGAAAUCAACCGAGAUUCCCCCAGUAGCGGCGAGCGAACGGGGAGGAGCCCAGAGCCUGAAUCAGCAUGUGUGUUAGUGGAAGCGUCUGGAAAGGCGCGCGAUACAGGGUGACAGCCCCGUACACAAAAGCGCAUGUGCUGUGAGCUCGAUGAGUAGGGCGGGACACGUGGUAUCCUGUCUGAAUAUGGGGGGACCAUCCUCCAAGGCUAAAUACUCCUGACUGACCGAUAGUGAACCAGUACCGUGAGGGAAAGGCGAAAAGAACCCCGGCGAGGGGAGUGAAAAAGAACCUGAAACCGUGUACGUACAAGCAGUGGGAGCACCCUUUGGGGUGUGACUGCGUACCUUUUGUAUAAUGGGUCAGCGACUUAUAUUCUGUAGCAAGGUUAACCGAAUAGGGGAGCCGGAGGGAAACCGAGUCUUAAUUGGGCGUUAAGUUGCAGGGUAUAGACCCGAAACCCGGUGAUCUAGCCAUGGGCAGGUUGAAGGUUGGGUAACACUAACUGGAGGACCGAACCGACUAAUGUUGAAAAAUUAGCGGAUGACCUGUGGCUGGGGGUGAAAGGCCAAUCAAACCGGGAGAUAGCUGGUUCUCCCCGAAAGCUAUUUAGGUAGCGCCUCGUGAAUUCAUCUCCGGGGGUAGAGCACUGUUUCGGCUAGGGGGCCAUCCCGGCUUACCAACCCGAUGCAAACUGCGAAUACCGGAGAAUGUUAUCACGGGAGACACACGGCGGGUGCUAACGUCCGUCGUGAAGAGGGAAACAACCCAGACCGCCAGCUAAGGUCCCAAAGUCAUGGUUAAGUGGGAAACGAUGUGGGAAGGCCCAGACAGCCAGGAUGUUGGCUUAGAAGCAGCCAUCAUUUAAAGAAAGCGUAAUAGCUCACUGGUCGAGUCGGCCUGCGCGGAAGAUGUAACGGGGCUAAACCAUGCACCGAAGCUGCGGCAGCGAACGUAUCACUUAAAGCGAUUCAGCGGGUUACGAUUGACGGAGCGAAGCGACGUCAAAGCGUAUACAAAGUCGAGUCGGUUUAAGGAUACGUUCGUUGGGUAGGGGAGCGUUCUGUAAGCCUGUGAAGGUGGCCUGUGAGGGUUGCUGGAGGUAUCAGAAGUGCGAAUGCUGACAUAAGUAACGAUAAAGCGGGUGAAAAGCCCGCUCGCCGGAAGACCAAGGGUUCCUGUCCAACGUUAAUCGGGGCAGGGUGAGUCGACCCCUAAGGCGAGGCCGAAAGGCGUAGUCGAUGGGAAACAGGUUAAUAUUCCCGUACUUGGUGUUACUGCGAAGGGGGGACGGAGAAGGCUAUGUUGGCCGGGCGACGGUUGUCCCGGUUUAAGCGUGUAGGUGUGUGUUCCAGGUAAAUCCGGUUCACUUUAACACUGAGGCGUGAUGACGAGGCACUACGGUGCUGAAGCAACAAAUGCCCUGCUUCCAGGAAAAGCCUCUAAGCAUCAGGUAACAUCAAAUCGUACCCCAAACCGACACAGGUGGUCAGGUAGAGAAUACCAAGGCGCUUGAGAGAACUCGGGUGAAGGAACUAGGCAAAAUGGUGCCGUAACUUCGGGAGAGAAGGCACGCUGACACGUAGGUGAAGUGAUUUACUCAUGGAGCUGAAGUCAGUCGAAGAUACCAGCUGGCUGCAACUGUUUAUUAAAAACACAGCACUGUGCAAACACGAAAGUGGACGUAUACGGUGUGACGCCUGCCCGGUGCCGGAAGGUUAAUUGAUGGGGUCAGCGCAAGCGAAGCUCCUGAUCGAAGCCCCGGUAAACGGCGGCCGUAACUAUAACGGUCCUAAGGUAGCGAAAUUCCUUGUCGGGUAAGUUCCGACCUGCACGAAUGGCGUAAUGAUGGCCAGGCUGUCUCCACCCGAGACUCAGUGAAAUUGAACUCGCUGUGAAGAUGCAGUGUACCCGCGGCAAGACGGAAAGACCCCGUGAACCUUUACUAUAGCUUGACACUGAACAUUGAGCCUUGAUGUGUAGGAUAGGUGGGAGGCUUUGAAGUGUGGACGCCAGUCUGCAUGGAGCCGACCUUGAAAUACCACCCUUUAAUGUUUGAUGUUUGAUGUCCUAACGUGGACCCGUAAUCCGGGUUGCGGACAGUGUCUGGUGGGUAGUUUGACUGGGGCGGUCUCCUCCUAAAGAGUAACGGAGGAGCACGAAGGUUGGCUAAUCCUGGUCGGACAUCAGGAGGUUAGUGCAAUGGCAUAAGCCAGCUUGACUGCGAGCGUGACGGCGCGAGCAGGUGCGAAAGCAGGUCAUAGUGAUCCGGUGGUUCUGAAUGGAAGGGCCAUCGCUCAACGGAUAAAAGGUACUCCGGGGAUAACAGGCUGAUACCGCCCAAGAGUUCAUAUCGACGGCGGUGUUUGGCACCUCGAUGUCGGCUCAUCACAUCCUGGGGCUGAAGUAGGUCCCAAGGGUAUGGCUGUUCGCCAUUUAAAGUGGUACGCGAGCUGGGUUUAGAACGUCGUGAGACAGUUCGGUCCCUAUCUGCCGUGGGCGCUGGAGAACUGAGGGGGGCUGCUCCUAGUACGAGAGGACCGGAGUGGACGCAUCACUGGUGUUCGGGUUGUCAUGCCAAUGGCACUGCCCGGUAGCUAAAUGCGGAAGAGAUAAGUGCUGAAAGCAUCUAAGCACGAAACUUGCCCCGAGAUGAGUUCUCCCUGAGACUUAGAGUCUCCUGAAGGAACGUUGAAGACGACGACGUUGAUAGGCCGGGUGUGUAAGCGCAGCGAUGCGUUGAGCUAACCGGUACUAAUGAACCGUGAGGCUUAACCUU
RNAcentral lists this ribosomal RNA (2996 nucleotides) under Salmonella enterica subsp. enterica serovar Thompson. Its description in RNAcentral is "23S ribosomal RNA". It matches the Rfam family "Bacterial large subunit ribosomal RNA". The record is from RNAcentral. Lineage: Bacteria; Pseudomonadati; Pseudomonadota; Gammaproteobacteria; Enterobacterales; Enterobacteriaceae.